UACGAAGGGAGCGAGCGUUGUUCGGAAUCACUGGGCUUAAAGCGUGCGUAGGCGGAUGUGUAAGUAAGAAGUGAAAUCCCAGGGCUUAACCCUGGAACUGCUUUUUAGACUGCACGUCUAGAAUUCGGUAGAGGUUGGUGGAACUCCUAGUGUAGAGGUGAAAGUCGCAGAUAUUAGGAAGAACACCGGUGGCGAAGGCGACCAACUGGACCGAUAUUGACGCUGAGGCACGAAAGCGUGGGGAGCAAACAGG
Molecule: ribosomal RNA, 253 nt
Filed under: uncultured bacterium
Lineage: Bacteria
Description: partial 16S ribosomal RNA
Rfam family: Bacterial small subunit ribosomal RNA
Source: RNAcentral